This is a long non-coding RNA of Octopus sinensis (East Asian common octopus), 94 nucleotides long. RefSeq lists it as uncharacterized. NCBI's taxonomy places the organism in Eukaryota, Metazoa, Mollusca, Cephalopoda, Octopoda, Octopodidae. The record is from RefSeq and is a predicted model, not a curated record. The transcript has 3 exons.
AUCCAACAAUAUCUAGGAGAAUGAUAGAAAGAGAAUCCAACAAGAUAUGGAAAAGUCGUACAUGAAAGAAUUUGAAAUGGUGAAGACACGCCAG